This 311-nucleotide unclassified non-coding RNA is filed under the name plant metagenome. RNAcentral's name for it is "partial contains 5.8S ribosomal RNA, internal transcribed spacer 2, and large subunit ribosomal RNA". The stretch from base 1 to 105 matches the Rfam family "5.8S ribosomal RNA", at positions 50 to 154 of the family's 154-position model. The record is from RNAcentral.
GAAAUGCGAUAAGUAAUGUGAAUUGCAGAAUUCAGUGAAUCAUCGAAUCUUUGAACGCACAUUGCGCCCGCCAGUAUUCUGGCGGGCAUGCCUGUUCGAGCGUCAUUUCAACCAUCAAGCCCCCCCGGGCUUGCGUUGGGGUCCUGCGGCUGCCCGCAGGCCCCGAAAUGCAGUGGCGGGCUCGCUGUCACACCGAGCGCAGUAGCGUACCUCACGCUCUGGGCGUGGCGGCGGGCGCCGGCCGUGAAACCCCCAUAAUGACCCCUAAAGGUUGACCUCGGAUCAGGUAGGAAUACCCGCUGAACUUAAGC